Molecule: ribosomal RNA, 1029 nt
Filed under: Klebsiella sp.
Lineage: Bacteria; Pseudomonadati; Pseudomonadota; Gammaproteobacteria; Enterobacterales; Enterobacteriaceae
Description: bacterial SSU rRNA
Rfam family: Bacterial small subunit ribosomal RNA
Source: RNAcentral
CAGAGGUAGCACAGAGAGCUUGCUCUCGGGUGACGAGCGGCGGAGGGGUGAGUAAUGUCUGGGAAACUGCCUGAUGGACCAAAAUAACUACUGGAAACGGUAGCUAAUACCGCAUAACGUCGCAAGAGGGGGGUGGGGGACCUUCGGGCCUCAUGCCAUCAGAUGUGCCCAGAUGGGAUUAGCUAGUAGGUGGGGUAACGGCUCACCUAGGCGACGAUCCCUAGCUGGUCUGAGAGGAUGACCAGCCACACUGGAACUGAGACACGGUCCAGACUCCUACGGGAGGCAGCAGUGGGGAAUAUUGCACAAUGGGCGCAAGCCUGAUGCAGCCAUGCCGCGUGUAUGAAGAAGGCCUUCGGGUUGUAAAGUACUUUCAGCGGGGAGGAAGGCGAUAAGGUUAAUAACCUUGUCGAUUGACGUUACCCGCAGAAGAAGCACCGGCUAACUCCGUGCCAGCAGCCGCGGUAAUACGGAGGGUGCAAGCGUUAAUCGGAAUUACUGGGCGUAAAGCGCACGCAGGCGGUCUGUCAAGUCGGAUGUGAAAUCCCCGGGCUCAACCUGGGAACUGCAUUCGAAACUGGCAGGCUAGAGUCUUGUAGAGGGGGGUAGAAUUCCAGGUGUAGCGGUGAAAUGCGUAGAGAUCUGGAGGAAUACCGGUGGCGAAGGCGGCCCCCUGGACAAAGACUGACGCUCAGGUGCGAAAGCGUGGGGAGCAAACAGGAUUAGAUACCCUGGUAGUCCACGCCGUAAACGAUGUCGAUUUGGAGGUUGUGCCCUUGAGGCGUGGCUUCCGGAGCUAACGCGUUAAAUCGACCGCCUGGGGAGUACGGCCGCAAGGUUAAAACUCAAAUGAAUUGACGGGGGCCCGCACAAGCGGUGGAGCAUGUGGUUUAAUUCGAUGCAACGCGAAGAACCUUACCUGGUCUUGACAUCCACAGAACUUACCAGAGAUGGUUUGGUGCCUUCGGGAACUGUGAGACAGGUGCUGCAUGGCUGUCGUCAGCUGGUCUUGUGAAAUGUUGGGUUAAG